Molecule: ribozyme, 116 nt
Filed under: Aedes aegypti (yellow fever mosquito)
Lineage: Eukaryota; Metazoa; Arthropoda; Insecta; Diptera; Culicidae
Description: drz-agam-1 ribozyme
Rfam family: drz-agam-1 ribozyme
Source: Rfam by way of RNAcentral
UGCCCAGUAACUCCUACCCCUACCUCCUCACGGUACUGGCCGGGGUACGAGUAACCUUAGGGAAGAUCUUAUAACCAACCCCGGUGGGAACUUUGGUCAUAUGCUGACAGGGAAGG